Molecule: long non-coding RNA, 1275 nt
Organism: Hemicordylus capensis (graceful crag lizard)
Lineage: Eukaryota; Metazoa; Chordata; Lepidosauria; Squamata; Cordylidae
Exons: 3
Source: RefSeq, a predicted model, not a curated record
UCAGAGCCCUUGGAUGUAGCAUAUAGUGUUUACCUCUUCCAUUUGCACACAUAGUUCCUCCUGGUCAACUCUUUUCUUUCAUUCAGGUGGAUAACGUCUAAUAGUUGAGCCUCCAGGCCAUUAUGUUCAAUAUUUGGAGGGGAGAAUGGAAGAUGUGGCCUGCUCCCUGUGACAGAUUUUGGUGGUGCAGAAGACAUUUGUGUUGACCCUGAGACAGAUACAGAAGGAUGGGAAUCCACGGCUGUCUGGGCCACCAUGGGUGCCUCUGGCUUCUUGAAAGUCAAGCCUCCUCGUUCUCCAUCCCAAGGAGCUUGAAAUCCAGACUUGGACGAAUCCCUGAAGUUGCCCUUGACCCAACCAUUGGUCGACACUGAUGCUACCAACGUUGAUGAAAGCGGUGACUCGGCACUGGAGUCAGGGGGAUGGAGUACUAUUUCAUACAGCACAGACUGCAGGCAAAGUUCCCUGCUCUUUCUUGUCUGCUUUGAGAAAGUGACACAGUUUUCUCCGAGGCAAAUUAGGCACUCACCAUGACUAUCCAAAGAGGGUAGUAUUCCUCUAUACAAGGAAUAGGAUAUGAAUGGCGCAAAUCCUUCAUGAUGCGAAUAGUGCAGCAGUCGAGAAGGAACUGAGAAGGCACUCGCCUGCCAAGAAUAAUGGUCAUGCCACGUGUGCAAUUCAACAAAGCCAAAGAGCACCUCAUGGAGCUUGGAAUUCUUCUGUGGGGCUUACUGCACAGGUGCAGAACCCAAAUUGUGAGGGAACAUGGAUCACCGCAAAGAUCAAUUUAUUCAUAAGCAAUACAUGCAGAACAGAUUAAAAAACAGCUUUACUUAUGCUGGGAUGAUUCUGCAGUCACUCCAAUGACCAUGAGAAUGGGAGGGAGAAGGGACUGAUAUACUGAAACAGCACAUCUAAUCUCCUAAAUAAGAAUAUGAACAGGUCAUUCUAUUAAAUCCACGAAGACCUCUAUUCAUUUAGGGUACUAAAGUAAAAUUCUACUGUCUGCACUACCUUACUAAAAAUCUUUACUUCAAAGUCUCCUUCAUAACCAGUGUUCUGUUUAAUUUUUUCCAUCUCUGUGCAGAAUACGUUUUGUUCUGGGUGGCAGUAUGAAGGCAGUGUGUGCGCAAAUUCAACCUGAGGGGGAUCUAAAAUUAACUGAGCGGACAUCAAAAAUGUGUGUGUGAACACUUGCGCACACCUUAGAGGGAACACUAUUCACAACAACCUUUUAUUCUCACCAGAUUUCUAUCAUUGUCAUUCCAGGUUUGA